RNAcentral lists this ribosomal RNA (321 nucleotides) under uncultured bacterium. RNAcentral's name for it is "bacterial SSU rRNA". It matches the Rfam family "Bacterial small subunit ribosomal RNA", at positions 28 to 334 of the family's 1533-position model. The record is from RNAcentral.
GAUGAACGCUGGCGGCGUGCCUAACACAUGCAAGUCGAGCGAAGCACUCUACUCGAUUUCUUCGGGAUGAAGGUUUAGUGACUGAGCGGGCGACGGGUGAGUACGCGUGGUAACCUGCCUCAUACAGGGGGAUAACAGUUAGAAAUGACUGCUAAUACCGCAUAAGACCACAGCACCGCAUGGUGCAGGGGUAAAACUCCGGUGGUAUGAGAUGGAUCCGCGUCUGAUUAGCUAGUUGGUAAGGUAACGGCUUACCAAGGCAACGAUCAGUAGCCGACCUGAGAGGGUGACCGGCCACAUUGGGACUGAGACACGGCCCAA